This 71-nucleotide transfer RNA is filed under the name Marmota monax (woodchuck). Its description in RNAcentral is "tRNA.Ala". The record is from RNAcentral. Lineage: Eukaryota; Metazoa; Chordata; Mammalia; Rodentia; Sciuridae.
GAGGUUGUGGCUCAGAGGUAGAGCACUUGCCUAGCACGUGCGAGGGUCUGGGUUCGAUCCUCAGCACCACA